GAUGAACGCUGGCGGCGUGCCUAAUACAUGCAAGUCGAGCGGACGGACGAGAAGCUUGCUUCUCUGAUGUUAGCGGCGGACGGGUGAGUAACACGUGGAUAACCUACCUAUAAGACUGGGAUAACUUCGGGAAACCGUAGCUAAUACCGGAUAAUAUUUUGAACCGCAUGGUUCAAAAGUGAAAGACGGUCUUGCUGUCACUUAUAGAUGGAUCCGCGCUGCAUUAGCUAGUUGGUAAGGUAACGGCUUACCAAGGCAACGAUGCAUAGCCGACCUGAGAGGGUGAUCGGCCACACUGGAACUGAGACACGGUCCAGACUCCUACGGGAGGCAGCAGUAGGGAAUCUUCCGCAAUGGGCGAAAGCCUGACGGAGCAACGCCGCGUGAGUGAUGAAGGUCUUCGGAUCGUAAAACUCUGUUAUUAGGGAAGAACAUAUGUGUAAGUAACUGUGCACAUCUUGACGGUACCUAAUCAGAAAGCCACGGCUAACUACGUG
Molecule: ribosomal RNA, 497 nt
Filed under: uncultured bacterium
Lineage: Bacteria
Description: partial 16S ribosomal RNA
Rfam family: Bacterial small subunit ribosomal RNA
Source: RNAcentral